GAACAGCUUGGUUUCACACUUGGCCGUUAUCCAUUGACUCCGUUUACCUAAUCAGCGCGCCGGUUAAUGAGCACAGACGACAUUGUGGUCCCUCAACACAACAUUAAUUCAAAUCCUCUUUCGCUCGGCUUUAAUGGGGAAACCGUAACAGGACGUGUCAGCAAACCGAGGGAUUGAGCGAGGAGGCGACCUGGGAGGAGGAGGAGGCGAAUCGGUCCAAAGGGUGACAGAGCAGUCUGAGAAAAGGACGCGACAGCAAGAGCAAGACGGUCAAAGGAGUGGCAGAAUGCCGGGGAGGAGAGGACUGGGACGGGAUCGGACGGGACGCGGAGGACAGGAGUCAUCGCUAUGGUAACGGAGAGCGGUGGCGAGGGCCGAGCGGCGCUGACUCACUGUGAUGCGCUUUCAGUGAGACAUGGAAUGUCACGGUGCACCCCGGGGAGAGGGUCAUCACUCCAAGGGACACUGCGACAUGGGACACCUUCUCUACUCCAUGCGCCACCGUCGCCAUCUGAGGCAGGACAGGACGACGAGGCGGUCCAUUGUCAUUGGAAGUGUCCAAACACAUUCGAUGACACCUGCCUUUUAUUUUGAAAAUACCUUUUCAAUCUGCAGAUCCUUAAAAAUGUAAGGGACCAGUGGCUGUCACCAGAGGCUCGGUCUGAGACACUGUUGCCGUGGUAACAACUUUUCCGAUUUGAUGACAGGCAUGAAAGGCAUGUUAAGAGAUUGAAUGUUUCUGCAAGGGCGCACACACACACACACACACACACACACACACACACGUAACUUCCCCCCUGGAGAGAUUGGUGUGUGUGUUUGUGGUAGUCUCUUUUUAUUACUUCAUCUUUGUAAGGUUCUAGAAUGAUGUUAUUUAGUAGACGUUCGUUUAGAGUCCACUUGAGAUUACGAGCGGAAUGACGCUCACCAUUAAUCUGUAUUGUGAAGCUGUAUUGUAAUAAACAUAUACCAUCAUUUCACAGCAUGCAAUGUAUGUGUCAUCAAUCUCUGUGAUCAUGUGCAUCACUUGUCAUCUACGCUGAAAUCAGAUCAAUGAAUUUUGACAUGCCGUUGAUAAUUAUUCACUCUGAGAGCUGAGCAUUUGCAUUUCAGAGUGCUUUUGUGUGGCUCACCAUACUGAACUGAUUGCAUUUUCAUAACAAUGGAAGGAUGAAAAUAGAAAGAAUGAGACAAUAAAUGAUGUCUUGCAAGCGUGGAUUCAUGUAAUAAAUCUGCAGCUUGCAGGAUUUUUACUCUCUGCUGUG
Long non-coding RNA from Gasterosteus aculeatus aculeatus (three-spined stickleback), 1265 nucleotides. Lineage: Eukaryota; Metazoa; Chordata; Actinopteri; Perciformes; Gasterosteidae. The record is from Ensembl.